This 551-nucleotide ribosomal RNA is filed under the name uncultured Glomeromycotina. RNAcentral's name for it is "SSU rRNA". It matches the Rfam family "Eukaryotic small subunit ribosomal RNA", at positions 548 to 1098 of the family's 1831-position model. The record is from RNAcentral. Lineage: Eukaryota; Fungi; Glomeromycota.
UUGGAGGGCAAGUCUGGUGCCAGCAGCCGCGGUAAUUCCAGCUCCAAUAGCGUAUAUUAAAGUUGUUGCAGUUAAAAAGCUCGUAGUUGAAUUUCGGGGUUUAUCCAUUGGUCGGGCUUUACGGUCCGUACUGGUGUGAUGGAUUCCUACCUUCUGAAUAACCUUCAUGCCAUUAAUUUGGUGCGUAGGGGAAGCAGAGCUGUUACCUUGAAAAAAUUAGAGUGCUUAAAGCAGGCAAGUGCCUGAAUACAUUAGCAUGGAAUAAUGAAAUAGGACGGCAUGGUUCUAUUUUGUUGGUUUCUAGGAUCACCGUAAUGAUUAAUAGGGAUAGUUGGGGGCAUUAGUAUUCAAUUGUCAGAGGUGAAAUUCUUGGAUUUAUUGAAGACUAACUUCUGCGAAAGCAUUUGCCAAGGAUGUUUUCAUUAAUCAAGAACGAAAGUUAGGGGAUCGAAGACGAUCAGAUACCGUCGUAGUCUUAACCAUAAACUAUGCCGACUAGGGAUCGGACGAUGUUAAUUUUUUAAUGACUCGUUCGGCGCCUUACGGGAAAC